This 208-nucleotide ribosomal RNA is filed under the name Klebsiella pneumoniae. RNAcentral describes it as "partial 16S ribosomal RNA". It matches the Rfam family "Bacterial small subunit ribosomal RNA", at positions 1336 to 1533 of the family's 1533-position model. The record is from RNAcentral. Lineage: Bacteria; Pseudomonadati; Pseudomonadota; Gammaproteobacteria; Enterobacterales; Enterobacteriaceae.
UAGUAAUCGUAGAUCAGAAUGCUACGGUGAAUACGUUCCCGGGCCUUGUACACACCGCCCGUCACACCAUGGGAGUGGGUUGCAAAAGAAGUAGGUAGCUUAACCUUCGGGAGGGCGCUUACCACUUUGUGAUUCAUGACUGGGGUGAAGUCGUAACAAGGUAACCGUAGGGGAACCUGCGGUUGGAUCACCUCCUUACCUUAAAGAA